Molecule: ribosomal RNA, 442 nt
Filed under: uncultured bacterium
Lineage: Bacteria
Description: partial 16S ribosomal RNA
Rfam family: Bacterial small subunit ribosomal RNA
Source: RNAcentral
CCUACGGGUGGCAGCAGUAGGGAAUCUUUCACCAUGGGCGAAAGCCUGAUGGAGCAACGCCGCGUGCAGGAUGAAUGCCUUCGGGUUGUAAACUGCUUUUAUAAGCGAGAAAUAUGAUGGUAACUUAUGAAUACUGAUCGGCUAACUACAUGCCAGCAGCCGCGGUCAUACGUAGGGUCCGAGCAUUAUACGGAGUUUCUGGGGGUAAAGAGUUGCGUAGGUGGCAUAAUAAGUAGCUAGUGAAAUCUGGGGGCUCAACCAUUAAGACUAUUAGGUAAACUGGUAAGCUUGAGACCAGUCGGGGUAACUGGAAUUGCUAGUGUAGGAGUGAAAUCCGUAGAUAUUAGAAAGAACACCAAUAGCGUAGGCAGGUUACUGGGACGGUUCUGACACUAAGGCACGAAAGCGUAGGGAGCAAACGGGAUUAGAUACCCGAGUAGUC